This is a long non-coding RNA of Parus major (Great Tit), 1497 nucleotides long. RefSeq lists it as uncharacterized. NCBI's taxonomy places the organism in Eukaryota, Metazoa, Chordata, Aves, Passeriformes, Paridae. The record is from RefSeq and is a predicted model, not a curated record. The transcript has 5 exons.
CUCAGCACUGCCUCCUGCAGUGUGAGGGAGCUCCCACCACAUCCCCAUAGCGAGCUGCUGAGGUGCAUGGGAUAAUUCUGCUUAGGAGCACCAAGCUCCAGUGACACACAUCAGAAAGCUACAGGGAUUAGAAAUCAUUCAAAAGGACACACUGCUUUGAAACUACAAGACACCCACCUGCCUGGGACCCAGCCAAGGCUGGUCACAUUGUUGCACUAAUGGGCCUGCAUGUGAAGGCUCCAGUUCUGGCAUGAAUCGCAGCUCUUUGAGAUCCAUCUCUUCCCUGAGAGCUGGCUGCCAUUACUGCUGACAUGAGUGAAGAGAUUCCCACUAAGUUUCAAGGACAACUGGAUUAAUUACCAGGUUUUUGUACUGGAAAGGUAUGCAAUUAGAAAAAGCCACGCUGCUCCCACUGGGCUGGAGCCAAGGAUGACCAAGUAUGCUUGCUCAAGUGCAGCUGUGGCACUUGAGGUGCAGCCCAGACAAUGGAACCCAGUCUGGUCAGAAGCUGCAGUCUGGCAACUUAGACUCACUGGGGGUCUGCCCAAGCAGGGGAGCAGCAAGAGGGAAUUUAUUUUAUGCAUCAGAGCUGCAAUUUCUAAACGGUAGGGUUUGAGCUGCAGAAGUUAUGUCAGCAUAACAACUUCACAACAGCCAGUGAGACUUCUGUCAGGUGUGUGGCAUACCAGGAGGAGUCUUCACCGGGAAAACAAUUAUCAGGUGCUUUGCACUGAAUGGAAAGCAUAAAAAGUUUUAUUAAUGUUUUUUAUAUAGUGUUUCUUGCCUCAUUUCAGUACUCCCUAACAUAAAAAAACCCCAAAAAACAACCAACAGAACCUUUUCUGAAGUAUAAUUAUCUAUUUCCCACAAAUCGUAUGAAGUGAUGCCUCUACACUAACUCCAGCUGUAGGUCUCAGCCUCUCAAACAGGGUUUGUGUGUGCCCUUACAGAAUGAUAGAAUAGUUUGGGUUCAAAGGAACAUUUAAAGGUGACAUAGUCCAGCUGCCAUGUGAUAAGCAGGAACGUCUCCAACUCAGAGCCAUGCCCAACAUGCCCUUUAACAUCUCCAGGGAUGGGUCAUCUACAACUGCCCUGAGCAACCUGUUCCACUGAUUCACCACCCUCACCGUAAAACUUUUCUUCCUCAUAUGUAGUCUGAAUUGACCUAGUCUUUUAGUUUAGAACAAUUCCCUCUUCUCGUAUAUCAACAGGCCAUGCUAAAAAGUCUGUCCCCACCUUUCUAACAAGCUCCCUUUAAGUACUGAGAGGCUCUAAUACGGUUUCCUGGGAGCCUUCUCUUUUCCAGGGAACAACCCCAAUGUCCUUAUUCUUGCGAAUUUUCCCAUGAACUCCCAUGGAAAUAGCUGCUUCCGUAAUGCUAUGCACGUGUUUUGAGGGCUCAGAAAAGACAGGGAAAUGACAAACAUAUGAGCUCAAAACUUCUGAGAAAAUGAGGACUGCCAGUGUUUCUGCAAUUAAAGCUAUGCUCUGUCAACU